UUCUAAGAGAUAAUGUUAAUAAAUUGAAUAUUUUCAUAGUUAGAGAACCUGUUUAUGACUUUAUGAAUAUGCUUUUUAGCAAUAAUACUAGAUCCCCGUAGACCUGAAAUAACACAGCUAUGGUUACCUUUACACUCCUAUUAUUCUUUGUUGACAUCAUAUUUCGCAACUCUUAUGCCAAAAACCUACCACUUCCACACAGAAUGUGAGGAGCUGACUUCGUGCAGUCUUAAGGUAAUGUAAUCAAUGUUUUGUGUCAUUCCUACAUACGUAUCACAUGUAUUUCUAAAUGUUUAGACUAAUAAUAGACCAUAGUCUACCAGGAAACAGCCAUCAUGUAUUCAUUCCUUUCUGAUAAAAAAAAUAUUUGGGCACCCCUGUGUACAUAUUAUUGCUUUCAAGGCUCAUCCAUGCAUAUCAAUGUAGUACCUGCUGAGCAGCAGUGUAGUUGGUUGGACUGGACACAGAGUUGUUGGUGGCGUAGAGGCCUGAGGAAGGGGUGAAACUUGAACCUGGAAGGUGAACAACAAAAGACACAUUGGGGAAAAAACACAAACAAAGCCUUGUCUGACCCUUUUUUCCCUCAACAUUCUAGAUCCAGACCUGGCAUCUGGUAGGGCGAGUAGGCCGUCUGUCCGGGCUGAGGCGUGGUGAAGCCGGGGCUGUAACUCAGUCCCGUCUGGAGAGGAGACUGACUCUGCGCCAGGCCGCUCUCUGUCUUGAUGCCUGGCAGCAUCACGCCCAGCCGGACAAUCCGUAGGCCUGUCCUGUUUGCGAGUAUGUGUAGACGGCCGACUGCUGCAUGCUGCUGAACUGGGGCUGGCCCGCGUACGUCGGCAUGGACGGGGCAGGCGGCGUGGAGAGGAUGUGAGGGAAACCAUGGACGCAAACGCCUGUUUGUCAAACACUGUUAUUGUUUACCUGCUGUCGGAAGGGUCUGGAACAUGAGAGUCACUGUUUGAUUUCUUCACCUGCAGAGGAAGCAGAAGAGAAAAGUGAG
Molecule: long non-coding RNA, 1000 nt
Organism: Doryrhamphus excisus (bluestripe pipefish)
Lineage: Eukaryota; Metazoa; Chordata; Actinopteri; Syngnathiformes; Syngnathidae
Source: RefSeq, a predicted model, not a curated record